GGGAAGGCAGCUCUCACUGUGGAGCCUCGGUCACCAGAGUUCUCACCUUUAGAUUCAGGGGCCUUCAAGCUGUCAAAAGAGGGUAUGGUGAUGCUUCAAUUUGCACCCGCUGCUGGUGUUCGUCAAUAUGAUUGGAGUAGAAAGCAGGUCUUCUCGCUGUCAGUGACUGAAAUUGGAUCUAUCAUCAGCCUUGGGGCAAAAGAUUCAUGUGAGUUUUUCCAUGAUCCAAACAAAGGAAGAAGUGAUGAAGGUAGAGUCAGGAAAGUGUUGAAGGUUGAGCCACUUCCAGAUGGCUCCGGUCACUUCUUUAAUCUCAGUGUUCAGAACAAGCUUAUUAAUUUGGACGAGAACAUUUACAUCCCAGUUACAAAGGCAGAGUUCGC
RNAcentral lists this unclassified non-coding RNA (383 nucleotides) under Hevea brasiliensis (rubber tree). The record is from RNAcentral. Lineage: Eukaryota; Viridiplantae; Streptophyta; Magnoliopsida; Malpighiales; Euphorbiaceae.